This 1045-nucleotide long non-coding RNA is filed under the name Apis dorsata (giant honeybee). Its description in RNAcentral is "uncharacterized LOC116186735, transcript variant X2". The record is from RNAcentral. Lineage: Eukaryota; Metazoa; Arthropoda; Insecta; Hymenoptera; Apidae.
CUAGGGAUCCGGGUUUCGAGGGAGGGUAGCGAUCGAGCACUUGAGCACGAGCUGAGAAGAAAUGCGGGGAGAACAAUAGGCUAGAGGUAACCAGGAGCUGGUGCUGCGUCAUCCCUGGUGUCUGAGUUUGUCUUCACCGACGCGGUAACGAGGUACACGUCAAGCAAAGAGCUCAUCUUUCCGCGACCUGUCACGAAAACCGACCACCCACAAUUUUUUCCAAGCACGAUCGCAUUAUCUCACAGAAUUUUCGUUGUCAAUGAGUUCUAAGAUAAUCUGCAUCACACAGCUAGUUAAUUAAAAAUAAAUCACGUCAUAGAUCGAAUAUACUUAACUCUACACGAGCACUUCACUUAUGGUGUCUUUCCAUGCACGUGAUUGGUAAGAAAAAUUGCUAGUUUCCUACAUAAAAUCAGAGAUGGCACUUUGACACGUGUUCGAAAGAGGCACGUGUGGUGUAAAAUAUAGUGAAUUGAUAUAUUGAUCUCGUGAUCUCUAAUUUUUUUGGUGCAUGGUUAAUUUCCGUUUCUUCGUUUCUAUAGCCUGCAUAAAAAUUUAUUCGCAGCUGCUUGAUCUUUCCGCGUCGUUUCGCACCGCGCAAACGACCGUAGACACUCGGCCAAUACAUACUUAUCAAAUGCAGGCGGCAUAGUCAGUACAAAACGAUAUGUACGAAUAAGAAAAGGACAAUACGGCAAAUCACGCAAGACCAAGCGAGAUAAGAGAGAAGAACGAAAUGGAUGCCUGUACUCGUGUACGAAUAUACGAAUAAAUGUGUGCGCGUGCGCGUUGCAUGUACACAUUCACAGAGCAUCCAACGUAUGUCACGAUAUUACAUGGGUUGCUGCGUUUUUACGUUGCCGGAGAGCAAUGCGUACACCAUGGCGGAAGUGCGUAAGAGAACGCCGACUGCCAGAGGAAAGAAAAUAGAAAGAAUAGAGAAGAGAAGAAGAGCAGAGAAGAAAAAAAAGAAAAAACUAAAGAAGGGAGAGAGAACGAAGGCAGAAGAGAACUCGGAUGUGCCGUGGAGCAGAGUCGUGUGAGG